RNAcentral lists this transfer RNA (87 nucleotides) under Gammaproteobacteria bacterium. Its description in RNAcentral is "tRNA-Leu". It matches the Rfam family "tRNA". From Rfam's summary of the family: Transfer RNA (tRNA) molecules are approximately 80 nucleotides in length. Their secondary structure includes four short double-helical elements and three loops (D, anti-codon, and T loops). Lineage: Bacteria; Pseudomonadati; Pseudomonadota; Gammaproteobacteria. The record is from RNAcentral.
GCCCGGGUGGUGGAAUUGGUAGACACAGGAGACUUAAAAUCUCCCGAUCGAAAGGUCAUGCGGGUUCAAGUCCCGCACCGGGCACCA